GCUCGAGUGGCGAACGGGUGAGUAACACGUGAGCAACCUGCCCUUGACUUUGGGAUAACUUCAGGAAACUGGGGCUAAUACCGGAUAGGAGUUCCUGCUGCAUGGUGGGGGUUGGAAAGUUUCGGCGGUUGGGGAUGGACUCGCGGCUUAUCAGCUUGUUGGUGGGGUAGUGGCUUACCAAGGCUUUGACGGGUAGCCGGCCUGAGAGGGUGACCGGCCACAUUGGGACUGAGAUACGGCCCAG
RNAcentral lists this ribosomal RNA (244 nucleotides) under uncultured Actinomycetales bacterium. RNAcentral's name for it is "partial 16S ribosomal RNA". It matches the Rfam family "Bacterial small subunit ribosomal RNA", at positions 89 to 334 of the family's 1533-position model. Lineage: Bacteria; Bacillati; Actinomycetota; Actinomycetes; Actinomycetales. The record is from RNAcentral.